Molecule: ribosomal RNA, 550 nt
Filed under: fungal endophyte
Lineage: Eukaryota; Fungi
Description: eukaryotic LSU rRNA
Rfam family: 5.8S ribosomal RNA (bases 247-400)
Source: RNAcentral
UUCUUGGUUCUUUUAGAGGAAGUAAAAGUCGUAACAAGGUCUCCGUUGGUGAACCAGCGGAGGGAUCAUUACAGAGUUGCAAAACUCCCUAAACCAUCGUGAACGUUACCCCAAAAUCGUUGCUUCGGCGGGCGGCGCCACACCCGGCGCCCCCCUGCCAGGGGCCCCUAAACGGGCGUCCGCCGGAGGCCCAUAACCCUUGUAUUGUUUUACGGCCUCUCUGAGUUUCAUACUUGAAUAAGUCAAAACUUUCAACAACGGAUCUCUUGGUUCUGGCAUCGAUGAAGAACGCAGCGAAAUGCGAUAAGUAAUGUGAAUUGCAGAAUUCAGUGAAUCAUCGAAUCUUUGAACGCACAUUGCGCCCCCCAGUAUUCUGGAGGGCAUGCCUGUUCGAGCGUCAUUUCAACCAUCAAGCCCCGGGCUUGUGUUGGGGACCUGCGGCUGCCGCAGGCCCCGAAAAGCAGUGGCGGGCUCGCUGUCACACCGAGCGUAGUAGCAAUCACCUCGCUCAGGGCGUGCUGCGGGUGCCGGCCGUAAAACUAUCAAUAGA